This 116-nucleotide ribosomal RNA is filed under the name Pogona vitticeps (central bearded dragon). Lineage: Eukaryota; Metazoa; Chordata; Lepidosauria; Squamata; Agamidae. The record is from RNAcentral.
UGUUUAAAUCAUGCCAUCGUACGGCCCUGAUCUUGUCUGAAUUUGGAAGCUAAGAAGUGUCUGGCCUGGUCAGUAUUUCAAUGGGAGAUCACAAGAAACAUAACGGAUCUCCACAA